GUGAAUCAUCGAAUCUUUGAACGCACCUUGCGCUCCUUGGUAUUCCUCGGAGCAUGCCUGUUUGAGUAUCAUGAAAUUCUCAAAGCAAGUCUUUUGUUAAUUCAAUCGGCUUUGUUUUGGACUUGGGGGUUUGCAGAUUCACGUCUGCUCCUCUUAAAUGCAUUAGCUGGAUCUCCAUGAACUUGGUUCCACUCGGCGUGAUAAGUAUCAUUCGCUGAGGACACCUGUAAAAAGGUGGCCAGGGUCGAGGAUGAGCCGCUUCUAACGGUCCAUUUAAUUGGACAGUUAAAUUUAUGAUCUGAUCUCAAAUCAGGUAGGACUACCCGCUGAACUUAAGCAUAUCAAUAAGCGGAGGAAAAGA
This 361-nucleotide ribosomal RNA is filed under the name Ceratobasidiaceae sp. CBS 570.83. Its description in RNAcentral is "eukaryotic LSU rRNA". The stretch from base 300 to 361 matches the Rfam family "Eukaryotic large subunit ribosomal RNA", at positions 1 to 62 of the family's 3401-position model. The record is from RNAcentral. Lineage: Eukaryota; Fungi; Basidiomycota; Agaricomycetes; Cantharellales; Ceratobasidiaceae.